RNAcentral lists this ribosomal RNA (482 nucleotides) under uncultured bacterium. RNAcentral describes it as "bacterial SSU rRNA". It matches the Rfam family "Bacterial small subunit ribosomal RNA", at positions 37 to 507 of the family's 1533-position model. The record is from RNAcentral.
GACGAACGCGUGGCGGCGUGCCUAAACACAUGCAAGUCGAACGGGAUCCACGCCAUGAAGUUUUCGGAUGGAUUGGUGUGGUGAGAGUGGCGAACGGGCGAGUAACGCGUGAGCAACCUACCUCGUACUGGGGGAUAACCGUCGGGAAACCGGCGCUAAUACCGCAUAAGACUACGAUGCCGCAUGGCAAUGUAGUCAAAGCUCCGGCGGUACGAGACGGGCUCGCGUCCGAUUAGCUAGUUGGUAGGGUAAUGGCCUACCAAGGCGACGAUCGGUAGCCGGACUGAGAGGUCGGCCGGCCGCAUUGGGACUGAGACACGGCCCAGACUCCUACGGGAGGCAGCAGUGGGGAAUAUUGCGCAAUGGGGGAAACCCUGACGCAGCGACGCCGCGUGAAGGAAGAAGGCCUUCGGGUUGUAAACUUCUUUGAUCGGGGACGAAGGAAGACGGUACCCGAGGAAUAAGCAUCGGCUAACUCCGUG